GACUCUCAGCAAUGGAUAUCUCGGCUCUUGCAUCGAUGAAGAACGUAGCGAAAUGCGAUACUUGGUGUGAAUUGCAGAAUCCCGUGAACCAUCGAGUCUUUGAACGCAAGUUGCGCCCGAAGCCAUUAGGCCGAGGGCACGCCUGCCUGGGUGUUG
Molecule: ribosomal RNA, 156 nt
Filed under: Lupinus angustifolius (narrow-leaved blue lupine)
Lineage: Eukaryota; Viridiplantae; Streptophyta; Magnoliopsida; Fabales; Fabaceae
Description: rRNA 5_8S_rRNA
Rfam family: 5.8S ribosomal RNA
About the family: 5.8S ribosomal RNA (5.8S rRNA) is a component of the large subunit of the eukaryotic ribosome. It is transcribed by RNA polymerase I as part of the 45S precursor that also contains 18S and 28S rRNA.
Source: RNAcentral